Hibiscus syriacus is the source of this 278-nucleotide long non-coding RNA. RefSeq lists it as uncharacterized. The record is from RefSeq and is a predicted model, not a curated record. NCBI's taxonomy places the organism in Eukaryota, Viridiplantae, Streptophyta, Magnoliopsida, Malvales, Malvaceae. The transcript is spliced from 3 exons.
CUGAUGAAUACGAAGAUCCUUACAUGCGAUUAGUGUACACUACUUCAUGGGCUAUAUUUGUCUAUUAUGCCUAUCAACGUACCUGGAAACCAUUCAAUCCCAUACUUGGGGAGACUUAUGAAAUGGUUAAUCAUGGUGGCAUUACUUUUCUAGCUGAACAAGUUAGUCAUCACCCCCAAUGAGUGCUGGUCAUGCUGAAAAAGAGCCUUUCAUUUAUGAUAAUUCAUCUAAAGUGAAAACCAAGUUUUUGGGAAAUUCAAUUGAUGUAUAUCCUCUUG